This 899-nucleotide ribosomal RNA is filed under the name Curvularia oryzae. Its description in RNAcentral is "LSU rRNA". It matches the Rfam family "Eukaryotic large subunit ribosomal RNA", at positions 47 to 964 of the family's 3401-position model. The record is from RNAcentral. Lineage: Eukaryota; Fungi; Ascomycota; Dothideomycetes; Pleosporales; Pleosporaceae.
AUAGCGGAGGAAAAGAAACCAACAGGGAUUGCCCUAGUAACGGCGAGUGAAGCGGCAACAGCUCAAAUUUGAAAUCUGGCUCUUUCAGAGUCCGAGUUGUAAUUUGCAGAGGGCGCUUUGGCUUUGGCAGCGGUCCAAGUUCCUUGGAACAGGACGUCACAGAGGGUGAGAAUCCCGUACGUGGUCGCUAGCUAUUGCCGUGUAAAGCCCCUUCGACGAGUCGAGUUGUUUGGGAAUGCAGCUCUAAAUGGGAGGUAAAUUUCUUCUAAAGCUAAAUAUUGGCCAGAGACCGAUAGCGCACAAGUAGAGUGAUCGAAAGAUGAAAAGCACUUUGGAAAGAGAGUCAAACAGCACGUGAAAUUGUUGAAAGGGAAGCGCUUGCAGCCAGACUUGCUUGCAGUUGCUCAUCCGGGCUUUUGCCCGGUGCACUCUUCUGCAGGCAGGCCAGCAUCAGUUUGGGCGGUGGGAUAAAGGUCUCUGUCACGUACCUCUCUUCGGGGAGGCCUUAUAGGGGAGGCGACAUACCACCAGCCUGGACUGAGGUCCGCGCAUCUGCUAGGAUGCUGGCGUAAUGGCUGUAAGCGGCCCGUCUUGAAACACGGACCAAGGAGUCUAACAUCUAUGCGAGUGUUUGGGUGUCAAGCCCGAGCGCGUAAUGAAAGUGAACGGAGGUGGGAACCCGCAAGGGCGCACCAUCGACCGAUCCUGAAGUUUACGGAAGGAUUUGAGUAAGAGCAUGGCUGUUGGGACCCGAAAGAUGGUGAACUAUGCUUGAAUAGGGUGAAGCCAGAGGAAACUCUGGUGGAGGCUCGCAGCGGUUCUGACGUGCAAAUCGAUCGUCAAAUUUGGGCAUAGGGGCGAAAGACUAAUCGAACUAUCUAGUAGCUGGUUCCUGCCGA